Hypanus sabinus (Atlantic stingray) is the source of this 5062-nucleotide long non-coding RNA. RefSeq lists it as uncharacterized. The record is from RefSeq and is a predicted model, not a curated record. The transcript has 3 exons. NCBI's taxonomy places the organism in Eukaryota, Metazoa, Chordata, Chondrichthyes, Myliobatiformes, Dasyatidae.
UCGUAAUUGGAUAUUUAUUAUAAAAAUCCAUCAGUCCUUUGGGGAGAAAUCUACCACUUUACCAAAAUGAUCUCCAACUUCUCCAAUAUGAGACAUUAAUUUUAUUUCAUUUCAUUAACAGUCAGAGACAAGCAAUAAAUAUUGACAGUUCCUGUGAUGUCCGCUUUCCUGAAUAAAUAUUUUUUUAAAGUACAUUAAGCAAUGUGAAAUGGUUGUCCUUCCUGUUCCUGAAUUUGUUCUUCUGGCUGUCAUUAGUUGAAUCUUCACUAUGUGGUGACUCUUUAACCAGACCUCACCUUCAAGUGUGUUUGUGAAUUGUGGGCUAACUUUGCUUUGUCAUUUUGUGUCAGCCAAUUGUCUUCAAUUGACAUUCAAUCAAGCACUCUGGACUUGUUAAUAACGCCUCCAUGUGGUCCUUCUGUUAAAGGUCAAAAUACAUUUAUUAUCAAAGUAUGUAUAUUUUAUACAACCUUGAGAUUUGUCUCCCUACAGGCAGCCACAAAACAAAUAAACCCAGUAGAACCCAUUAAAAAAAAAGAAGACUGGCGAAAAUCCAAUGUGCAGAGAGAAAAAACAAAUUAUGCAAACAAUAAAAGUAAGCAAAUAGCAUUCACGAAAGUGAGUCCACAGCCAUGAGUUGCAGGCUACAGCCUCAGCUCAAUGCAGAGAUGAGUAAACAUCGUGGAGCAGUGAGCUGAACCUUGCUUCCAGCCCUGAUGCUCUGAUGUUUUCAAUCUGGCCUGGUGCUGAAAUUGUACAAACCUCGGGUUGUUCUUUAUUCUUGGAACUGGGCCCUGUCACUUCGAUACACCUUCGGGCUCAGGCCCUGCCACCUUGAAUCGGCCCCUACCAGAACUCCCCAAUUUGGCUCUGUGCUUAAAUCAAUCAGACCUCAGGUCUAAUGCAAAGCUUCAAGCAAGGUAACUGAAUCCAAGAUGCUGGGAUCGCGAUCUGAUCAGGAAACAAUCAGGAGAAGUCGGAACCAAGUCUGGUGAAAGGAGGGACCACAUGUAAUAUCAUUUAGAGCAUAGAAAAUAGAACGUUACAGCACAGUACAUGUCAUUCGGCUCACAAAGUUGUAUCAAACUAUUAACCUACUCAAAGAUCAAUCUAUCCCUUCUGUCCUCCAUAGCCUUCCAUUUUUCUAUCACCCAUGCGCCUAUCUAAGAGUCUCUUAAAUGUCUCUAAGACCAUAAGACAUAGGAGCAGAAUUUGGCCAUCUAGUGCAUCGAGUCUGUUUCGCCGUGCAAUCAAGGCUGAUCUUUUUUACCCCUCCUCAAUCCCAUUUCCUGGCCUCCUCCCCAUAACCUUUGAUGGUGUGUCCAAUCAAAAACUUAACAAGCUCUGCCUUAAAUACACCCAACGACCUGGCCUCCACAGCUGCAUGUCGCAACAAAUUCCACAAAUUCACCCACCCUUUGGCUAAAGAAAUUUCUCCGCGUCUCUGUUUUAAAUUGAUAACCCUCUAUCCUGAGGCUGUGCCCUCUUGUCCUAGACUCCCCAACCAUGGGAAACACCCUUUUCAUAUCUACUCCGUCUAAGCCUUACAACAUUUGAAAGGUUUCAAUGAAAUCCCCCUCAUCCUUCUAAAUUCCAGCGAGUACAGAUUUAGAGCCAUCAAGCAUUCCUCAUACAAUAACCUUUUCAUUCCCAGAAACAUCCCUGUGAACCACCUCUGGACCCCCUCCAAUGCCAGUACAGUACAUCUUUUCUUAAAUGAGAAGCCCAAAACUGUUCUCAAUACUCAAGGUGAGGCCUCACCAGUGCCUUAUUAAGCUGCAGCAUCACAUCCCUGUUCUUGUAUUCCAGACCUCUUGAAAUGAAUGCUGACACUGCAGUUGCCUUCCUCACCACUGACUCAACCUGCAAGAUAACCUUUAGGGUGUUCUGCACAAGGUCUCCCAAGUCCCCUUGCAUCUUGGAUUUUUGGAUUUUCUCCCUGUUUAGAAAAUAGUCUGCACAUUUAUUUCUACUACCAAAGUGCAAGACCAUGCAUUUUCCAACAUUGUAUUUCAUUUGCCACUUUCUUGCCCUUUCUCCUAAUCUGUUUAAAUCCUUCUGCAGCCUUCCUGUUUUCUCAACCCUACCUGCUCCUCCACCAAUCUUCGUAUCAUCUGCAAAUGGCGACAAAGCCAUCUAUUCCAUCAUCUAAAUCAUUGAUAUACAGCAUAAAAAGAAGCGGUCCCAACACCGGCCCCUACGGAACACCACUAGUCACUGGCAGCCAACCAGACAAGGAUCCUUUUAUUCCCACUCGUUGCCUCCUCCCAAUCAGUCAAUGUUCUAACCAUGUUAGUAACUUCCCUAUAAAACCGUGGAUUCUUAACUUGGUAGGCAGCCUCAUGUGUGGCACCUUGUCAAAGUCUUUCUGAAAGUCCAAAUACCCACCAUACACUGCAUCCUCCUUAUCAAUCCUACCUGUAAUCUCGUCAAAGAAUUCCAACAGGUUCAUCAGGCAAGAAUUUCCCUAAGGAAACCAUGCUGACUUUGUCCUUCCUGUCCUGUGUCACUAAGUACUCCAGAGCCUCAUCCUUAACAAUUGACUCCAACAUCCUCCCAACCACUGAGGUCAGGCUAACUUGUCUAUAAUUUUGAAAGAUCAUUGUUAAUGCCUCCACAAUCUCUAACGCUGUCUCUUUCAGAUGACACGUCUUUGAUCAGCCUUAUUUCGAGUGGUACUGAGACAGCCUACAGAGGAGAGGGUGACACCCUGACACAGUGACUCCUUCAAUGUCCAAAAAGCAAAAGAGCCGAUUGUGGAUUACAAGAGGAACGGAGACAGGCUCGGCCCGAUCAACACCAAUGCGCCUGCAGUUGAGAGGGGAGCCUGACGCACAAUCCUUGACAGAUUGGAGUCAGAGUCCAGUGGAAUGGAAUGCACAAUGACCAGGAACCCUUCACUGCCGUUGUGAUGUCAUCAUCUUCCACCAGCUCCACUGUUCAGAUCUUAAAUGGAUCUCUCUUUGUCUGGAACCUUCCCUUUGACCCUACCAUACACUCCUCCUGAUGGCUAAACUGCAGACAGCAUUGCUCUGGGGAUCGCAGGAACCCACGAGCCUCUCCACCUAGACAAGAAAGUACUGCCCAGUCCAUCACAGGCAAACAGCUUCCCACCAUUGAGCACAUUUACAAGGAGGGCUGCCACAAGAAAGCAGCAACUAUCAUCAAGAACCCCCACCAUCCAGACCAUGCUCUCUUCGCACUACUACUCAGGCAGGAGUUACAGAAGCCUCAGGUCCCACACCACCAGCGGACAGGAACAGUUAUGACUCUACAACCAUCAGGCUCCUGAACCAGCAUGGAUAACUUCACUUAUCUCACCUGAACUGAUUCUACAAUCUACAGAGUCACUUUUGCAAGGUCUCUACAACUCAUGUUUUCAGUAUUGUCUAUUUAUUUGCACAGUUUUUCUUAUUUUGCACAUUGGCCGUUUGUCAGUCCUUGUUGGUGCAUAGAUUUCAUAAACUCUAUUGUAUUCCUUUAUUUCCCUGUAAAUGUCUGCAAGAAAAUGAAACUCAGAGUUGUAUAUGGUGUUAUAGAAACAUAGAAAACCCACAGCACAAUACAGGCCCUUCGGCCCACAAUGCUGUACCAAACGUGUACUUACCUUAAUUACCUUGGGUUACCCAUAGCCCUCUAUUUUUCUAAGCCCUGUGUACAUAACCAGGAGUCUCUUAAAAGACCCUAUUGUAUCUGCCUCCACCACCAUCGCCAGCAGCCCAUUCCACACAUUCUCCACUUUCUGCGUAAAAAAAACUUACCCCGACUUCUCUGUACCUAUUUCCAAGCACCUUAAAACUGUGCCCUCUCGUGUUAGCCAUUUCAGCCCUGGGAAAAAGCCUCUGACUAUCCACAUGAUCUAUGCCUCUCAUCAUCUUACACACCUCUAUCAGGUCGCCUCUCAUCCUCUGUCGCUCCAAGUAGAAAAGGCCGAGUUUACUCAACCUAUUCUCAUAAGACAUGCUCCCCAAUCCAGGCAACAUCCUUGUAAAUCUCCUCUGCACCCUUUCUAUGGCUUCCACGUCCUUCCUGUAAUGAGGCGACCAGAGCUGAGCACAGUACUCCGUGAGGUCUGACCAGGGUCCUAUGAAGCUGUAAUAAGCUGCUAUAUAGCUGUUAUAUAAGUACUUUGAUAACUUACUUCAACUUUGAGCAUUUUUUUGCUCUUAUUUCAGGUUUCCAGCAUUUGCUGGGUCAGAAGCCGGAAUAAGAAGUGGGGGUGGGGAGGGGUUGUGGUCGAGGAAGGAAUAAAGGCCGGAGGGUGACAGCUGAACCCAGGUGAAUGGAAGGUGGGUGGGUGAGGGAGGGGAUCAAAUGAGAAGCUAGGAGGUGAUAGGUGGAAAAGAUAAAGGGGAGAAGAAGAAGGGAUCCGAUAGGAGAGGAGAGUGGACCAUGGGAGGAGUGGGAAGGAGGAGGGACACCGGAGUGAGGUGAUGGACAGGUGACCAUCAACUCCAUCAACCACCUAGCUCCACCUAUCACCUUCUAGCUUGUACUCCUUCCCCUCCCCCCACCUUCUCACUCUGGAUCCUUCUCCCUUCCUUUCCAGUCCCAACCCAAAAUCUCAACUACUUAUUCCCCUCCAUUGAUGCUGCUUGGCCUGCUGAGCUCCUCCAGAAGCUUGCAUGUGUUACUCUGAGUUUCCAGCACCUGCAAAACCUCUUUUGUUCAACAAUCUGCACGGUGCUGGGAAAAGAGUCAUGUCUGCAAUAAAAAAAAGUCAGUCUUUGAACACCAGAUAAAGGUAUUGAAAAUUGAGUGGAAAAGGUGUUAUUAUAUGGUGGGGCAGCAUAGACAUGGAAAUAGAGAACAAGGGUUAAAGUAAUACAGAGAGUACAGGAACGUAUGCAAGGUGUCAUGUUGAUGGACCACCCCUGUUGUGAAUUUAAUAUUUUAGUUAUAUUUGAGUACUCUUAUAAAUAUAUUAUUUCAGUAAGCAUUCUUGAUCGUUUCAAUAAUUCAUCACGGGUUAUAUGUAUAAAUACGUGACUUGCAAAAGUCAAUGCGGUACCACAUGAUAUGCGCUCACCUCACUUUAAGUAAACACGAAGUUAGACCUGCA